UUUUCAGUACCCUGAACCAUCUGAGCUCACCCAAUAAUGGUGAUCACUUCAGCUGAGCAGUUACUAGGCAGCCUCCACCAAGAUGAAUUUGGCCCCUCGCAGAGACGCUCUGGCUCCAGCCAUUCAAGCAGUUUCCUAUCCCUUGACUUCAAAACCAGCAAGAACCAGCAAGAACCAGCAGCUGUGCCACCACUGACCUGCUCCAGCCCUGGGACAGAGCACACACAGCCCCCCAGGACCGGUGGGUGAAUCCCUCAAGCCAGGGGAGCUUGAAAUCACCUCCUCAUUCACAGCCACUGUGGCUGCUCUGUCCCUUAGGAGUGGAGAAAGAUGUGCUGCUGAGAUGGAAGAGGAUCCUUGGAGGAUGCUGAGGUCAGGUUUGCACUCUGUGUGUGGAGAGGGCAGCUCACCACCUUCCUCUCUUUUGCUGGCAGCUUUGAAGAAGGAGACCCCACAUCGAGCUGCUGCUGAGCACCCUGAGCUCUCUUAUCCAUGCUGAAAUCUCUCUCUCCACUUGUGAACCUUUCCAGGAACUUUUCUUGCAGCAGUUCCUCCAGUGGCCACCCUGGGGAAGGCAGAGGGGCUGGUGUGGCCUGGACAAAGGGGCUGCUUUCCUGCAGGACCACGUUACCCCCCUGCAUGCCUCCCCCCAAUUAGCCUGGACCUUAAUUGGGGCUGACACGCGCCCGUUGAAAGAGAUUCCCCAGGAAUUAAAGCGCUGCUCCUCUGGUUUGGGUUGGCUGCUGAUGUGAAACAUGACAUGAUCUUGGAGGAUUUUCUGAGCUUACCAUGAAGCAAGGCUGCCCCCGGUAUCAAGCGGGCUUUGUGCUGGGGCUGUAAUCAUAUUACAAAUUGAACGCUUCCACAUGUGCGCGCUGGCACAUCCACCCUCGCCUAUCUCGCAUGUAUCUGCCCCAAGGUACAGAUGCUGAGGGCUUGACACAGCAUAAUAUGGAUCUCAAUAUAUUUUCCAGAUUGCCUUAGCACAUGCUAAUGAAAAUGAGGAGUAAAAGGCCCGUGAGAAGCAGCUGUUUAAAAUUUUCUUCAAUCCCCAAAAAUCAACUUCUUAAUUACUGAUAAUUUAAGCAUCAAAAUCACCACUAACCCUCUUCUCCCACUAGGCCCUCCCAAGCUGGGAGGCCUGCUCGAAGACUCUUGGGCAAAACUUUUUCUUAGAAGUGUAGCUUUUCAUCAAAUUUCUUCAGCUUUUCUGGAAUUAAUUAGUAUUAAAAUAAAGCAGGGAAAGGGCGAGUAACUGCUGGAGGUGCCUUCCCUCAGACCUCCUGCUUAGACUGCUAAGGCUCAUUGUACCACAACACUUCCAUAUUUCUACGGCACCUUUCAUAACAAAGGAUUCCCCAAACUUCUCCAAAUGGAUUUAUAGAUAUAAAUAGCUUCAAUUGCCUUUAAAAUGUGCACUUUCUUGGAUCAAAGAAAGCAGGCUUUGCUUCUAUCGUGCAAAAGGAUCUGUGUUCAGUCUGGUUUGGGUUCAUACCUAGUGGGGCAACCAGUCCCAAGCAAAGUUUAGGCAGUGGUUUUGGGAUAAGGGCUGGCAACAUAUUCCAUGAGUUCCUGGAUCACUGUGUGGCAGUGGGGCCUCUUUCCAGGGAUUAUCUAAAUGUUAGUCUUGUUAAAAUCUAAAUUCUGGGAUAAUUUUGUUGAGAAUUGUUUUCCUCUAGCAGCAAAUAAGUCUGAACCAGAGGAAAAAAAUAAUGGAAAAGAAGGUGUACACAGUACUUAUUUUUUACUUUUUAUUUGAUGUUCACCAUCUUCCCAGCCUUCCCUAAAUGACUCUGAACUUGAGUUGAGCCUUUCCUAAAGCUGGCACCAUUUUCUGUAGAGAAACAGAAGCUGAAUUAAUCUGGCUCUUGCCAGCCCCAUGCUAGGUGUGCUCACACAGAGCCAGUCAAUGGAUGGGAGCAAGGCUGGUUUUGGCCAGGCUGCAGAAAACAUUUUCCUGCUAACUGGAGUCCUGGCAAGGAGCAUGGGGUUUGACAUGGAAAAAGGGGGUUUGUGUUUGCUGCUGGAUACCUUUUUUUUGUUUAAAUCAUUACUGGAAGCAUCUUUAAAACUGACUUUUCCACAACACUCUACGAGAGAGCAACAAAACCACAACUAAAUAUAGCUGGAAGGCAGAGAGCAGAGUGGAGCCAUCCAGGAGCUCACAGUGAGUCUCUACAUGGGAGAGACCUGACAGAAACUUUUAAAGCUCAAAACAUGCACGGAGCAACGGGCCAAACUGAAUAGCUGAGCAAAAGCAGCCCUGCAAAUGCUUUUAUAAUAACUUCCCCUGCCAUUACUCCACAAAUGUACCCAUUGGAAACAGCAGCUGACAUGAGAAUGGUGACUGAGACCCACUGGGCUAUUGAGGAGCUGGGCCAGGGUGAAAUAUUGAUUAAUCAUCUUGUCAGGCUGGGGCUUUGCUCAGUUCUGUAGAUGGGAAUUGAGAGGGUAAUGUGCAGCUCCUCCAUGUAGGAAGGCUGCUGCAUCACAUGGGAAUGAUUUGUUGACUUACGGAAAAGUGCUACAGUGGGGCGAACAGUAGGAUGAUGCUGAAAUGAGACAAAGGGAUUUUUGAAAAGUAUUGACUUUCUUUUUUUUCCUCAGAAAAAAUUAAAUCACUGUAGUAGAAAGCCAGAAACAUCAAUCCUCACUCAGCAUCUGUUUGCACCUGGACAAUUGCACCUGUGUGGUCCAUUGGGGAGGGUGUGACACAAAGACAAAAACUAUCCAGUUUUCUUUGUUUAUUGGGGGAUGAGAUGAGUAAUCAAAUCUGGGUUUGCUUUUCAGCUAUUCCUCUGGGUGAACAACUCUAGUACUGAGACAAGGCAGUGAAAAUCAAGGUCAUGGUAAGGGAUCUACAUGGAGUUGAAGGACCCAUUGAUAUUACAGAAAUACACUUUGUCCCCUCUGCCCAUCAAACCCCAUGGGCAGUGCUGCACUGUGACAAGAAAAUACCAAGUUCCAGACAACCAAUGGGAAAAUGAGCCCAGGGAUUGGUGGCAUUUGCUCCCUAAUGGUCACCAGAGCUGGUUAUGGGCAGGUUGAGCUAACCCUGAGCUCAGCUCAAGGAGUACUUUACCUGGCAGGUCUAUGAUAGGUGUGCUGCUUAACCCAGAACAUUAAACCCAGGGGACACGGUCCCACCCUUUCUCCACCUCCCAAACCCUCUUUCAUCUAGGGCAGGUGAGGGCAGAGCUGAUAACAACUGUCAUUGCAUCAAAUUAAAGGGGAAAACGAUCUGGAAAGCUGUUUGCAGAUAAAACUUGACUUGAUUAAUCUAUUUGUUCUUUGUGUUUGGCAGAAACCUAAAACCAAGUUUCACAGUGGCUUUAACUGCCCUAAAAAUAAUGGCCUAUUUAUGCAAUUAUCUGCAUGUACGUGGCCAUUACCUCAGGCCACUGCAGUACAAGAAUAUGCACACGGGAUUUUUUUUUUUCAUCUAUUUACUUUUUUUCCAGGUGGGGUUUAGGCUUCCUGCAUGAAAACCAUUCCAGUGUAGGUUCUCAGCUUGCCACCAACUUGUGCAGAAGGCUCUCAAGCUGAAGGAGCAAACCAAACAAGCCCACACCUGGGCUGAAGACAAGAAUGACACAUACAGGUCACCGGACUUUAAAUGAGUGACCCUGCAGAUUUAUAAGGCAUUCUGCUCAGCAGUCUUUUAAAUAGUCAUAUAC
Molecule: non-coding RNA, 3677 nt
Organism: Zonotrichia albicollis (white-throated sparrow)
Lineage: Eukaryota; Metazoa; Chordata; Aves; Passeriformes; Passerellidae
Source: RefSeq, a predicted model, not a curated record